UUUUUCAAACUGGCCGGGUAA
This 21-nucleotide non-coding RNA is filed under the name Caenorhabditis elegans. The record is from RNAcentral. Lineage: Eukaryota; Metazoa; Nematoda; Chromadorea; Rhabditida; Rhabditidae.